GAUGAACGCUGGCGGCGCGCCUAACACAUGCAAGUCGAACGAUUAAAGCACCUUCGGGUGUGUAUAAAGUGGCGAACGGCUGAGUAACACGUGGGCAACCUGCCCCUUUCAUUGGGAUAGCCACGGGAAACCGUGGAUAAUACCGAAUACUUCGAGACUUCCGCAUGGAAGACUCGAGAAAGCUCCGGCGGAGAGGGAUGGGCCCGCGGCCUGUUAGCUUGUUGGUGGGGUAACGGCCUACCAAGGCAAUGAUGGGUAGCUGGGUUGAGAGACCGACCAGCCAGAUUGGGACUGAGACACGGCCCAGACUCCUACGGGAGGCAGCAGUGGGGAAUCUUGCACGAUGGGCGAAAGCCUGAUGCAGCGACGCCGCGUGCGGGAUGAAUGCCUUCGGGUUGUAAACCGCUUUCAGCAGGGACGAGGCGAAAGUGACGGUACCUGCAGAAGAAGCCCCGGCUAACUACGUG
This 467-nucleotide ribosomal RNA is filed under the name uncultured bacterium. RNAcentral describes it as "partial 16S ribosomal RNA". It matches the Rfam family "Bacterial small subunit ribosomal RNA", at positions 28 to 507 of the family's 1533-position model. The record is from RNAcentral.